RNAcentral lists this small nuclear RNA (128 nucleotides) under Rhodnius prolixus. Its description in RNAcentral is "U4 spliceosomal RNA". It matches the Rfam family "U4 spliceosomal RNA". From Rfam's summary of the family: U4 small nuclear RNA (U4 snRNA) is a component of the major U2-dependent spliceosome. The structure of U4 snRNA from yeast and human has been reported. Lineage: Eukaryota; Metazoa; Arthropoda; Insecta; Hemiptera; Reduviidae. The record is from Rfam by way of RNAcentral.
AACCUUGCGCAGUGGAAAUAUUGUAAUUAAUGAAGAUUUCCUGAGGUGCGAUUAUUGCUGGUUGAAACUUAGAUUACUAAACUAAGGUUAAUGAUAAAUGUAAGUUAAAUACGAAUUGUGGACAAACA